GUGUGUUCUGUGUGUGUAUGUUGUGUUCUCCUUCACCUCUCCAGCUCUCCAGCAUCUCCGGCGUCUUCAUCACAUCGAGCUCCAAGGAUGAAGGAUGAUGGAGGGGUGAAUGAUGAUGGAGGAUGGAUGAAUUGUGAUCAUAAAGGAGGUUCUUCUCCUUACGCUAUGCUGCCCACACCAUGUUAAACUAGUUAACCUAGUUAAGUAGUGAUUCUCCACCUGAUGACUGAUGGAUGCACACAAACGACCCUCAGUUGGCGACACGAUUUGAAGAACAAACACCGUGUGUUCAUGUAAACGUCAGUGGAAGAAGAAAACGUGAUGUGAGAUUGGUGGAAAGAUUAAUGUUCAGUGUCAUAUUCAUCUCCAUUUCAUGCACAACCUCCAUCAUCUCCAUGUCCUCCACAGUCUCCAUCAUCUCUAUCUCUUCCACAGUCUCUAUCUUCUCUAUUUCCUCCGCAAAUUCCAUCACCUCCAUUAUCUCCACCACGUGCACUACCUCUGUCAUCUCAAAGUCUUCCACUGUGUCCAUCUCCUCCACAAUUUUCAUCAUCUCUAAUGCCUCCACAUUCUUUAUCAGCUCCCUCAUUUCUGUAAUCUCUAUCACCUCCACCAUCUCCAUCAUUUCCAUCUCCCCCACAACUUCCAUCAUCUCAACCUCCUCCACAAUUUCCAUCAACUCCAUCAUCUCCAUCCCCUUCACAAAAUCCAUCAUUUCUGUCUCCUCUACAAUCUCCAUCAUCUCAAUGUCCUUCACUAUCUCCAUAAUCCCUAACUCUUCCACAGUGUCCAUCACCUCCACCAUCUCCAUCUCCACAAUCUCCAUCAUCUCUAACGCCUCCACAUUCCCCAUCACCUCCAUUAUCUCAAUCUGCUCUACUAUAUCCAUCUUAUCUAUCAUCUUCAUCUCCUCCACAAUCUCCAUCAUCUCAAUGUCCUCCACUAUCUCUAUCAUCCCUAACACUCCCACAGUGUCCAUCAUGUCCAUCAUCUCCGUCUGCUCCACAGUCUCCAUCAUCUUAAUCUCCUCCACAAUUUCCAUCAACUCCAUCAUCUCUAUCUCCUCCACUAUCUCCGUCAUCUCUAACUCCUCCACAUUCUCCAUCAUCUCCAUCUCCUCAAAAAUCUCCAUCAUCUCCAUCUCCUCCACUACCUCCAUCAACUCUAUCUCCUGCACAAUGUCCAUCACCUCCAUUGCCUCCAUCACUUCCAUUAUCUCCAUCUUCUCUGCAAUUUCCAUCACCUCCAUCAUCUCCAUCCCUUCCACAAUCUUCAUUAUUUCCAUCUCUUCGAUAAUCUCCAUCAUCUCCAUCUCCUCUACUACCUCCAUCACCUCCUUCAUCUCAAUCAUUUCCGACACCUCCAUCAUCUCCAUGUCCUCCAUCACUUCCGUCAUCUCCACCUCUUCUACCAUCUCCAUUACCUCCAUAAUCUCUAUCUCCUCCACAAUCCCUAUCAUCUCCAUUUCCCGCAUCACAUCCAUCAGCUCCAUCUCCUCUUUCAUCUCCAUUUCCAUUUUCAUCCUCUCCAUCUUCAUCUCUGUCGUAUCUCACCUGUAUUGGACUCAUGGGUCACUAAUUACUACUAGUUACUACUUCAUGGCAAUAGUGUAGUAACCC
Molecule: long non-coding RNA, 1619 nt
Organism: Scleropages formosus (Asian bonytongue)
Lineage: Eukaryota; Metazoa; Chordata; Actinopteri; Osteoglossiformes; Osteoglossidae
Source: Ensembl